This 505-nucleotide ribosomal RNA is filed under the name uncultured bacterium. RNAcentral's name for it is "bacterial SSU rRNA". It matches the Rfam family "Bacterial small subunit ribosomal RNA", at positions 501 to 1008 of the family's 1533-position model. The record is from RNAcentral.
CUACGUGCCAGCAGCCGCGGUAAUACGUAUGGGGCGAGCGUUGUCCGGAAUUAUUGGGCGUAAAGGGUACGUAGGCGGUUUUUUAAGUCAGGUGUGAAAGCGUGAGGCUUAACCUCAUUAAGCACUUGAAACUGGAAGACUUGAGUGAAGGAGAGGAAAGUGGAAUUCCUAGUGUAGCGGUGAAAUGCGUAGAUAUUAGGAGGAAUACCGGUGGCGAAGGCGACUUUCUGGACUUUUACUGACGCUCAGGUACGAAAGCAUGGGGAGCGAACAGGAUUAGAUACCCUGGUAGUCCACGCCGUAAACGAUGAAUGCUAGGUGUUGGGAGUCAAAUCUCGGUGCCGAAGUUAACACAUUAAGCAUUCCGCCUGGGGAGUACGGUGGCAACACUGAAACUCAAAGGAAUUGACGGGGGCCCGCACAAGCGGUGGAGCAUGUGGUUUAAUUCGAUGGUACGCGAGGAACCUUACCUGGGUUUGACAUCUAGUAGAAGGUCUUAGAGAUA